UACGAAGGUGGCUAGCGUUACUCGGAAUUACUGGGCGUAAAGCGCGUGUAGGCGGUCUCUCAAGUCAGAUGUGAAAUCCCAAGGCUUAACUUUGGAACUGCAUUUGAAACUGAGAGGCUAGAAUUUGGUAGAGGACAGUGGAAUUCCUAGUGUAGUAGUGAAAUACGUAGAUAUUAGGAGGAACACCAGUGGCGAAGGCGACUGUCUGGGCCAAUAUUGACGCUAAGACGCGAAAGCGUGGGGAGCAAACAGG
RNAcentral lists this ribosomal RNA (253 nucleotides) under uncultured bacterium. Its description in RNAcentral is "partial 16S ribosomal RNA". It matches the Rfam family "Bacterial small subunit ribosomal RNA", at positions 524 to 776 of the family's 1533-position model. The record is from RNAcentral.